RNAcentral lists this transfer RNA (76 nucleotides) under Candidatus Jorgensenbacteria bacterium CG_4_10_14_0_8_um_filter_39_13. Its description in RNAcentral is "tRNA-Trp". It matches the Rfam family "tRNA". Rfam says of the family: Transfer RNA (tRNA) molecules are approximately 80 nucleotides in length. Their secondary structure includes four short double-helical elements and three loops (D, anti-codon, and T loops). RNAcentral also lists the same sequence under 3 other names. The record is from RNAcentral. Lineage: Bacteria; Candidatus Joergenseniibacteriota.
AGGGGCGUAGCUCAAUUGGUAGAGCAGGACUCUCCAAAAGUCAAGGUUGUCGGUUCGAGCCCGGCCGCCCCUGCAA